GGACUACCCGGGUAUCUAAUCCUGUUUGCUCCCCUAGCUUUCGCAGCUCAGCGUCAGUGAUGGCCCAGAAGCCUGCUUUCGCCAUAGGUAUUCCUCCCGAUCUCUACGCAUUUCACCGCUACACCGGGAAUUCCAGCUUCCUCUACCACACUCUAGCCGGGUAGUUUCCCUUGGCCUCUCCCAGUUGAGCCGGGAGCUUUCACAAGAGACUUACCCAACCACCUACCUGCGCUUUACGCCUAGUGAUUCCGAGUAACGCUUGCCACCUACGUAUUACCGCGGCUGCUGGCAC
Molecule: ribosomal RNA, 292 nt
Filed under: uncultured bacterium
Lineage: Bacteria
Description: partial 16S ribosomal RNA
Source: RNAcentral